This 263-nucleotide long non-coding RNA is filed under the name Monodelphis domestica (gray short-tailed opossum). RNAcentral describes it as "lncRNA (ENSMODG00000030404.2)". The record is from RNAcentral. Lineage: Eukaryota; Metazoa; Chordata; Mammalia; Didelphimorphia; Didelphidae.
UGCAGAGCUGGAUGUGCCCUGAGGCCAAAACCUCCCGGAAGGAGGUGUGGGGGGGGCAAUAUGGAGUUUUUCCACUGCUGCAACUAGGUUGCCUGCUCUGUGCUUCUUCUUCAACUGCUUCCCCACCACCUGUGUUUGACACUCUGAACCUGGCACAGCUUUGCCCACAAUGGACUCCCUCCAUACCAGCACCCUUGCUUGGCCAGAGGUUCCAGUUUCUUUUCAGGAGGAGACAGAGCAGUUGGAAUUACUCUCUGGAGUAG